UCGACAGAAUUUUUAACUUAAUCUGUAGAAAAAUCUAAACAGAUCCUAAGAUUUUCUUACAUGUGUGAGGACUGGAUCCUUCAUGGGGUAAAGUUCUGCAACGAUAACAACAAAUUUAUCUAGCUCAGUUUAAUGAAAAAGAAUUUCAACAAACAUCGCCCCUAAGGACACGCGAACAGUGAGGUGCAGUAUACCAACCAGCCCUUGUCUGUGGUCUUGGAUUCUCCAGGAGAACUACCAAAAAAAAAAAAAUCUCAAUUCUCUGGAUGAAACGAAGAGUCUCCAUAAUGCUAUGCGCUGCAUCAAAGCUCCGAAGGUUGAAAUAUCUAAAGUAGAUCAGAAGUUGAAUCUUCACAGUAAAUCCUGCCAAGUCAAUAUCAUUGCGCUA
This 388-nucleotide long non-coding RNA is filed under the name Elaeis guineensis (African oil palm). RNAcentral's name for it is "long non-coding RNA (EGUI_LNC030426)". Lineage: Eukaryota; Viridiplantae; Streptophyta; Magnoliopsida; Arecales; Arecaceae. The record is from RNAcentral.